Molecule: ribosomal RNA, 433 nt
Filed under: uncultured bacterium
Lineage: Bacteria
Description: partial 16S ribosomal RNA
Rfam family: Bacterial small subunit ribosomal RNA
Source: RNAcentral
AACGAACGCUGGCGGCAUGCCUAACACAUGCAAGUCGAACGAGACCUUCGGGUCUAUUGGCGCACGGGUGCGUAACGCGUGGGAACCUGCCCUUAGGUUCGGAAUAACUCCCCGAAAGGGGUGCUAAUACCGGAUAAUGUCUUCGGACCAAAGAUUUAUCGCCUUUGGAUGGGCCCGCGUUGGAUUAGCUAGUUGGUAGGGUAAAAGCCUACCAAGGCGACGAUCCAUAGCUGGUCUGAGAGGAUGAUCAGCCACACUGGGACUGAGACACGGCCCAGACUCCUACGGGAGGCAGCAGUGGGGAAUAUUGGACAAUGGGCGAAAGCCUGAUCCAGCAAUGCCGCGUGAGUGAUGAAGGCCUUAGGGUUGUAAAGCUCUUUUACACGGGAUGAUAAUGACAGUACCGGGAGAAUAAGCACCGGCUAACUACGUG